CAAGGGUCCUGAAGCUUCGUCU
Molecule: microRNA, 22 nt
Filed under: Ananas comosus (pineapple)
Lineage: Eukaryota; Viridiplantae; Streptophyta; Magnoliopsida; Poales; Bromeliaceae
Description: microRNA s1362_c045b
Source: RNAcentral